GAUGAACGCUGGCGGCGUGCUUAACACAUGCAAGUCGAACGAGAAGUGAAGACGGAAACCUUCGGGCGGAAGGCUUUAUUUCGAGUGGCGGACGGGUGAGUAACGCGUGGGUAACCUGCCUCAUACAGGGGGAUAACAGUUGGAAACGACUGUUAAUACCGCAUAAGACCACAGCACCGCAUGGUGCGGGGGUAAAAACUCCGGUGGUAUGAGAUGGACCCGCGUUCGAUUAGCCAGUUGGCGGGGUAACGGCCCACCCAAGCGACGAUCGAUAGCCGAUCUGAGAGGAUGACCGGCCACAUUGGGACUGAGACACGGCCCAAACUCCUACGGGAGGCAGCAGUGGGGAAUAUUGCACAAUGGGGGAAACCCUGAUGCAGCGACGCCGCGUGAGUGAAGAAGUAUUUCGGUAUGUAAAGCUCUAUCAGCAGGGAAGAAAAUGACGGUACCUGAGUAAGAAGCCCCGGCUAACUACGUG
This 478-nucleotide ribosomal RNA is filed under the name uncultured bacterium. RNAcentral's name for it is "partial 16S ribosomal RNA". It matches the Rfam family "Bacterial small subunit ribosomal RNA", at positions 28 to 507 of the family's 1533-position model. The record is from RNAcentral.